This 407-nucleotide ribosomal RNA is filed under the name uncultured bacterium. Its description in RNAcentral is "partial 16S ribosomal RNA". It matches the Rfam family "Bacterial small subunit ribosomal RNA", at positions 28 to 526 of the family's 1533-position model. The record is from RNAcentral.
GACGAACGCUGGCGGCAGGCCUAACACAUGCAAGUCGAGCGGAGCGGCGGACGGGUGCGUGAUGCCUAGGAAUCUGCCUGGUCGUGGGGGCUAGCGUCCGGUAACGGGCGCUAAUACCACAUACUAUCAGAUGAGCCUAGGUCGGAUUAGCUAGUUGGUGGGGUAAAGGCAUACCAAGGCGACGAUCCGUAACUGGUCUGAGAGGAUGAUCAGCCACACUGGAACUGAGACACGGUCCAGACUCCUACGGGAGGCAGCAGUGGGGAAUAUUGGACAAUGGGCGAAAGCCUGAUCCAGCCAUGCCGCGUGUGUGAAGAAGGUCUUCGGAUUGUAAAGUACUUUAAGUUGGGAGGCGGUACCAACAGAAUAAGCACCGGCUAACUUCGUGCCAGCAGCCGCGGUAAUUC